GGGUUCCAUUUGGCAAACCAAAUUGUAACUGCCAAAGAUAAUUUAAUUUUAAUUUAUGACUCAUCUGGUCUUAGCAUCCACGUCCACUAUGGGAUACUUCAGGGCAAUGAGUGCUAUGACUAUGGGGAAUUUAGGCAAGACAAUAGUUAAGUUUGUGUAAUCUGUUAUGUAUGUUACUCUUACGGCACAUCUCCAUCUGGACCAGCCACAUCUUAAGUGUUCAAUAGUCGCAUGUGACUAAUGGCUUCUGUAUUGGACAGUGCUUCCCAUUGGCUGAGCACAAACUGAAUCCAGGAGCCAAAAGGAUCCACUGAUGGAGCCCAAAAAAGGUAGAGAAAGGUGAAGAGCCGUUCUGCAGGGACAGACAGAAGUGGUCUAGAACUAAACCGACAAUGUCGCCAAGGUGUGCCAGUAUAAGGACAGACUGAAAGAAUCACUGGAUCUGGACCUCAGUACGUGAACUUGCUCCUGCCAUAAGAGUUGUUUCCACAGGGCAUUCAGUCAUGGAACAGUUGCCAUUUUAGGAAGUAAGGUGGAAGAUCAGAGAACUCCUUCCUUUUGUCUGCUCCUAAUCAGCACCUUAGGUAAUUGUGAAUAAGAUCCUCCAGAAAGGUCAGUUAGUUCCUAUUCUCUUAGAGAUUUCAAGAACUUAAUGAAUGGUGAGAACAUCACCAGCAUAAGCAGUGUAUUUUCAGCCGAAGGCCAUUUUUUAAUCACAGGCUUAAUACCCACUGAAUCCAGGAUACAGUCAGCAUGGAAUUAAUUUAAUCCUUGUAAAAUGGCUAAACUCAGAGUGGUCAAAAGGGAAAAAAAAAAUAACUAACACUUUUAUGGGACUUAUGAUAGGCCACACUUUGUCUAAGCACUCAGCAUUUAUUAAUUUACUUCAUCUUCACAGGAUGAAGUUGGGUAUUACCAUUUUCUCCUUUAACAACUGAGGAACCUGAGCACAGAAAGACUGAAGAAUUUGUCUAAGAUUAAGCACUUAGUAAGCAAUGGGACCGAGUGGGAUUCAAACCCAGGCAGUCUAGAAUCUUAGUCUAUGCUUUUACCACAAUGUUAUAUCACUUCUCAAAUAUAUUUAGCUCCAGAUAAGACCACUGAGUCCCAGUGAAGAAACGUGUUUUGGUGUUUCCUUUCUUAUAUAAGACUGGAGCUUGCCAGUAGGAAGUAGUAUCUGAGGAAAUCUUCUGGCAUAUAAAUUAACCAGCGAGUAAUUUACCUACAGAAAUCACAAAAUGACCAAUGGCCAAAUCCCAAGUUUCACAAAAACUUGAAUUAAAAUGCUUUCCUUAACCUUUCAGAAAUCUCACUUAAAUUUCCACAUAGCCAGUUUUUCUGGACCUGUAUCCUUACCAGAUUGACAGCACUAUGUUGGUGUCCAGUAGCUGCUGCUCCUUUUAGGUCAGAUUGUGCUCCUGUGUUUAUUAUAGCUCUUCAUAGCUCCUACCAUAACUGGCUGCAUGAAGUUGGGCCCUCUGAUCCACUGCUUCAUGCUCUCAUUCUUCCUAAAUUGUACAAGCUGAGGGUUGGGAAGGACCUACUCUAAGGGAUACUUCUAUGUUUUUGAAGACUGAUGUUUAUACAAUAUUGGUAACUCAAGGAAAAUAAUAUAAAA
Molecule: long non-coding RNA, 1618 nt
Organism: Equus caballus (horse)
Lineage: Eukaryota; Metazoa; Chordata; Mammalia; Perissodactyla; Equidae
Source: Ensembl